RNAcentral lists this microRNA (18 nucleotides) under Chiloscyllium plagiosum (whitespotted bambooshark). RNAcentral's name for it is "microRNA PC-3p-254123_2". The record is from RNAcentral. Lineage: Eukaryota; Metazoa; Chordata; Chondrichthyes; Orectolobiformes; Hemiscylliidae.
UCUCUGUGUGUGUCCCUG